GUCCUAGUUACCAGCACGUAUGGUGGGCGACUCUAAGGAGACUGCCGGUGACAAACCGGAGGAAGGUGGGGAGUGACGUCAAGUCAUCAUGGCCCUUACGGCCUGGGCUACACACGUGCUACAAUGGUCGGUACAAAGGGUUGCCAAGCCGCGAGGUGGAGCUAAUCCCAUAAAACCGAAUCGUAGUCCGGAUCGCAGUCUGCAACUCGACUGCGUGAAGUCGGAAUCGCUAGUAAUCGUGAAUCAGAAUGUCACGGUGAAUACGUUCCCGGGCCUU
This 277-nucleotide ribosomal RNA is filed under the name uncultured Pseudomonas sp. RNAcentral's name for it is "partial 16S ribosomal RNA". It matches the Rfam family "Bacterial small subunit ribosomal RNA", at positions 1107 to 1382 of the family's 1533-position model. Lineage: Bacteria; Pseudomonadati; Pseudomonadota; Gammaproteobacteria; Pseudomonadales; Pseudomonadaceae. The record is from RNAcentral.